UGUGGGAGCUGGCUUGCCUGCGAUGCUGGCACCUCGGUCAUUCAGUUGCACCGAGGUGAUGCUAUCGCAGGCAAGCCAGCUCCCACA
This 87-nucleotide unclassified non-coding RNA is filed under the name Pseudomonas sp. bs2935. The record is from RNAcentral. Lineage: Bacteria; Pseudomonadati; Pseudomonadota; Gammaproteobacteria; Pseudomonadales; Pseudomonadaceae.